This 491-nucleotide ribosomal RNA is filed under the name uncultured bacterium. Its description in RNAcentral is "partial 16S ribosomal RNA". It matches the Rfam family "Bacterial small subunit ribosomal RNA", at positions 29 to 506 of the family's 1533-position model. The record is from RNAcentral.
AGUGAACGCUGGCGGUAGGCCUAACACAUGCGAGUCGAACGGCAGCACAGUAAGAGCUUGCUCUUACGGGUGGCGAGUGGCGGACGGGUGAGGAAUACAUCGGAAUCUACUUUUUCGUGGGGGAUAACGUAGGGAAACUUACGCUAAUACCGCAUACGACCUACGGGUGAAAGCAGGGGAUCUUCGGACCUUGCGCGAUUGAAUGAGCCGAUGUCGGAUUAGCUAGUUGGCGGGGUAAAGGCCCACCAAGGCGACGAUCCGUAGCUGGUCUGAGAGGAUGAGCGGCAACACUGGAACUGAGACACGGUCCAGACUCCUACGGGAGGCAGCGGGGGGGAAUAUUGGACAAUGGGCGAAAGCCUGAUCAAGCCAGACCGCGUGGGUGAAGAAGGCCUUCGGGUGGUAAAGCCCUUUUGUUGGGAAAGAAAAGAAGCAGGUUAAUACCCCGCUGUUCGGACGGUACCCAAAGAAUAAGCACCGGCUAACUUCGU